UACGUAGGGUGCGAGCGUUGUCCGGAAUUAUUGGGCGUAAAGAGCUUGUAGGUGGUUUGUCGCGUCUGCUGUGAAAAUCCGGGGCUCAACCCCGGACUUGCAGUGGGUACGGGCAGACUAGAGUGUGGUAGGGGAGACUGGAAUUCCUGGUGUAGCGGUGAAAUGCGCAGAUAUCAGGAGGAACACCGAUGGCGAAGGCAGGUCUCUGGGCCACUACUGACGCUGAGAAGCGAAAGCAUGGGGAGCGAACAGGAUUAGAUACCCGGGUA
Molecule: ribosomal RNA, 269 nt
Filed under: uncultured prokaryote
Description: partial 16S ribosomal RNA
Rfam family: Bacterial small subunit ribosomal RNA
Source: RNAcentral